UACAACUCAUCCAUAAUGAGAUCUGAUG
Molecule: non-coding RNA, 28 nt
Filed under: Mus musculus (house mouse)
Lineage: Eukaryota; Metazoa; Chordata; Mammalia; Rodentia; Muridae
Source: RNAcentral